GCUUGUCUCAAAGAUUAAGCCAUGCAUGUCUAAGUAUAAGCAAUUAUACAGCGAAACUUGCGAAUGGCUCAUUAUAUAAGUUAUCGUUUAUUUGAUAGUACCUUACUACUUGGAUAACCGUGGUAAUUCUAGAGCUAAUACAUGCUAAAAAUCCCGACUUCGGAAGGGAUGUAUUUAUUAGAUUAAAAACCAAUGCCCUCUGGGCUCCUUGGUGAUUCAUAAUAACUUUUCGAAUCGCAUGGCCUUGCGCCGGCGAUGGUUCAUUCAAAUUUCUUCCCUAUCAACUUUCGAUGUUUGGGUAUUGGCCAAACAUGGUCGCAACGGGUAACGGAGGGUUAGGGCUCGACCCCGGAGAAGGAGCCUGAGAAACGGCUACUACAUCCAAGGAAGGCAGCAGGCGCGCAAAUUACCCAAUCCCGAUUCGGGGAGGUAGUGACAAAUAAAUACUGAUACAGGGCUCUUUUGGGUCUUGUAAUUGGAAUGAGUACAAAUUUAAAUCUCUUAACGAGGAACAAUUGGAGGGCAA
This 526-nucleotide ribosomal RNA is filed under the name Zarea fungicola. RNAcentral describes it as "partial small subunit ribosomal RNA". It matches the Rfam family "Eukaryotic small subunit ribosomal RNA", at positions 30 to 558 of the family's 1831-position model. The record is from RNAcentral. Lineage: Eukaryota; Fungi; Ascomycota; Sordariomycetes; Hypocreales; Cordycipitaceae.